This 1346-nucleotide ribosomal RNA is filed under the name fermentation metagenome. RNAcentral describes it as "bacterial LSU rRNA". It matches the Rfam family "Bacterial large subunit ribosomal RNA", at positions 1598 to 2925 of the family's 2925-position model. The record is from RNAcentral.
AGCCCUGCUUCCAGGAAAAGCCUCUAAGCAUCAGGUAACAUCAAAUCGUACCCCAAACCGACACAGGUGGUCAGGUAGAGAAUACCAAGGCGCUUGAGAGAACUCGGGUGAAGGAACUAGGCAAAAUGGUGCCGUAACUUCGGGAGAAGGCACGCUGAUAUGUAGGUGAAGCGACUUGCUCGUGGAGCUGAAAUCAGUCGAAGAUACCAGCUGGCUGCAACUGUUUAUUAAAAACACAGCACUGUGCAAACACGAAAGUGGACGUAUACGGUGUGACGCCUGCCCGGUGCCGGAAGGUUAAUUGAUGGGGUUAGCGCAAGCGAAGCUCUUGAUCGAAGCCCCGGUAAACGGCGGCCGUAACAAUAACGGUCCUAAGGUAGCGAAAUUCCUUGUCGGGUAAGUUCCGACCUGCACGAAUGGCGUAAUGAUGGCCAGGCUGUCUCCACCCGAGACUCAGUGAAAUUGAACUCGCUGUGAAGAUGCAGUGUACCCGCGGCAAGACGGAAAGACCCCGUGAACCUUUACUAUAGCUUGACACUGAACAUUGAGCCUUGAUGUGUAGGAUAGGUGGGAGGCUUUGAAGUGUGGACGCCAGUCUGCAUGGAGCCGACCUUGAAAUACCACCCUUUAAUGUUUGAUGUUCUAACGUUGACCCGUAAUCCGGGUUGCGGACAGUGUCUGGUGGGUAGUUUGACUGGGGCGGUCUCCUCCUAAAGAGUAACGGAGGAGCACGAAGGUUGGCUAAUCCUGGUCGGACAUCAGGAGGUUAGUGCAAUGGCAUAAGCCAGCUUGACUGCGAGCGUGACGGCGCGAGCAGGUGCGAAAGCAGGUCAUAGUGAUCCGGUGGUUCUGAAUGGAAGGGCCAUCGCUCAACGGAUAAAAGGUACUCCGGGGAUAACAGGCUGAUACCGCCCAAGAGUUCAUAUCGACGGCGGUGUUUGGCACCUCGAUGUCGGCUCAUCACAUCCUGGGGCUGAAGUAGGUCCCAAGGGUAUGGCUGUUCGCCAUUUAAAGUGGUACGCGAGCUGGGUUUAGAACGUCGUGAGACAGUUCGGUCCCUAUCUGCCGUGGGCGCUGGAGAACUGAGGGGGGCUGCUCCUAGUACGAGAGGACCGGAGUGGACGCAUCACUGGUGUUCGGGUUGUCAUGCCAAUGGCACUGCCCGGUAGCUAAAUGCGGAAGAGAUAAGUGCUGAAAGCAUCUAAGCAUGAAGCCCCCCUCAAGAUGAGAUUUCCCAUUCCGCAAGGAAGUAAGAUCCCUGAAAGAUGAUCAGGUUGAUAGGUCUGAGGUGGAAGUGUGGCGACACAUGGAGCUGACAGAUACUAAUCGAUCGAGGACUCUCCCGC